UCUAGAUCCUCAAGCACUGUUUGUCUGGGGGACAGGCUGGGGACCACAGCUGGGAGGGGGCAAGGGAAGAAAAGAAUACCAUGGACAGUGAGCAGAAUUAGUGUGGGAGGAGAAGGAAGGCAUAAAAAUGCUGAGCAAGGAGGCGAAGUGAGGAGAAAGACCAAGUAGAACCAGGCCAGAGCUGAGGAGCAAGUCUAGAUGGCGCUCAGGGGACACAGAAGCUGUCCAAGGAGAAUCCAACAGAAUGCACAAUGUUGGAGAGCCUACGGAAACUCCACAGUGCAAACUACAGUGGCCGAGGAAUGAAGGAGCAGGCAGGAAGCUGGAGGCUUAGUAUUGAACCAGAAGAACAUCACAGCUCCUGGGAGAAGACCCAGGAGGGGUGUCGACCUGGCCACCCCAUGCUCCCACCUUGUCCUUAUUUUCCCCAUCUCUCCCAGGCCACAGAUCAACCUUGCACCUGUCUUCUCCCAUAGUCAGCUGCCAAGCAGUGUAAGUCUGUCUGCCUCCUACAGUCCUGGCAUCCACUCCCUGUCCCACUGCUCCUUCCCCGUGGAGAAACCUGCAGCUGGCUGACAGCAGAGUGAGAGGCACUCAGCCUGGAUAAGGUUUACUAAGAGGAUUUCAGACCUUCUUAAAAUCUCUCCUACUGUCUCCAAAUUAAGAAGCCUGGAAACAAAUCUGGAAAACACUAAACUACAUCCUGGCACUCACGUUCUCCUUCCUCUCGUCCCCUCCCCAAACACACAUGCACACUGUCCCCUGUCUACCCAGCUAUAAUCACUAGGCUGCAGCCAGGCCAAUCUGUUCAGACUACUGCAGCAAUCAAUGAGAAGCCAUACAGGUCCUUUGGUGAGUGGUGACCAUCAUGAACCAGGAAAGACUGAAAUUAUUGAAUUGACUCUGCUAUGGUUCAGCAGUCAAAUAGGUUCAGGAUAUUAAAGAUAUUAAAGCUGUUAAAAAUUUUCUAGCUCUGUUCACUCUUUAGAGAGAAUCACUUUAGUUUACUUUAAUAUAAUGCACCAUGGCUUACUACAAUGAGAACUGAAGCAAUUAUCUGGAUAACUCAGGCUAAAAACACUUUUCCUGAAAUUACCAGAUAAUCAUCUUCCCCACCCCAGUCCCACCAAUAAUGAAAAGCUUAUAAUCUGAAGGUCUUAAUCCUCUAUACUUCCUCCCUUUCUCUUCCAAUAUGAGCAAGGUAAAUAUAAAAGCAAACCAAAGCUCUUCCUUUAAAUAGCAUUUCUAACCCAGUGAAUGUCAUUGUUUAUAUUUAAUUAGAGAUUUGAAUAAACAGAAUGAACUAGUAAAGUCAAACUGCAUUUGGCAGGCUGAGCCUAAGGUAAGCAGGUUCAUCUACGAAAGCAAAGGAUAUUAUUUGGGAAUAGUGGGCAGGUUUCUACCUAAAGAUAUAAAAUACAAUAAUUAAUCCCUUAUCUUGAGAGUUAUAUUCCUAAAAAUCUUGUAGAAGGAGAAUUCAUGGUUGAGGAA
Equus caballus (horse) is the source of this 1491-nucleotide long non-coding RNA. RefSeq lists it as uncharacterized. The record is from RefSeq and is a predicted model, not a curated record. NCBI's taxonomy places the organism in Eukaryota, Metazoa, Chordata, Mammalia, Perissodactyla, Equidae.